This 295-nucleotide unclassified non-coding RNA is filed under the name fungal sp. RNAcentral's name for it is "partial internal transcribed spacer region". The stretch from base 1 to 46 matches the Rfam family "Eukaryotic small subunit ribosomal RNA", at positions 1786 to 1831 of the family's 1831-position model. The record is from RNAcentral. Lineage: Eukaryota; Fungi.
AAGUCGUAACAAGGUUUCCGUAGGUGAACCUGCGGAAGGAUCAUUAUCACGUAUCCACGUAUAAACCAUUGUGAACCGUACCCCAACCUCCGGUGUUUCUGUGACGUCUCCUCUUCUUCCUCUUCGGGGGGCAAAGAGAGAACGGAACGGAGAAAACGGAGCGUAUUAACCUUUAUAUUAACCAUUCUAACCACAUCUUUAUAACUUUAUGAACUAAUCUUUAUUUUAUACUCUUCGGAGAUAAAAUUCAUUACGAAACAAAGAACAACUCUUAGCAACGGAUAUCUUGGUUCUC